Vicia faba (fava bean) is the source of this 227-nucleotide non-coding RNA. NCBI's taxonomy places the organism in Eukaryota, Viridiplantae, Streptophyta, Magnoliopsida, Fabales, Fabaceae. The record is from the annotation of a GenBank genome assembly.
AUGGGAGUGUCAACUCCAUCAUCCUCUAUAUAUUCUGCAGGUCACGAUCUCAAUCCUGAAUAUUAUUAUUUUAAACCAGAAAUUGAGAAUAAUGGUAGAUUGGUGAAAGGCCUCUGUAAGUGCAUUGAGACGCUUAAUGAAAGUUAUGCAGUGGAAGAUUUGAUUUCAGAACAAUUGUCACAAUACAGGGGUGAUACGGGUCUCUUUGGUAUAAGAGCGGCAAUUAG